This 465-nucleotide ribosomal RNA is filed under the name Vreelandella stevensii. Its description in RNAcentral is "partial 16S ribosomal RNA". It matches the Rfam family "Bacterial small subunit ribosomal RNA", at positions 338 to 795 of the family's 1533-position model. The record is from RNAcentral. Lineage: Bacteria; Pseudomonadati; Pseudomonadota; Gammaproteobacteria; Oceanospirillales; Halomonadaceae.
CCUACGGGCGGCAACAGUGGGGAAUAUUGGACAAUGGGCGAAAGCCUGAUCCAGCCAUGCCGCGUGUGUGAAGAAGGCCUUCGGGUUGUAAAGCACUUUCAGUGGGGAAGAAAGCCUUGGGGCUAAUACCCUCGAGGAAGGACAUCACCCACAGAAGAAGCACCGGCUAACUCCGUGCCAGCAGCCGCGGUAAUACGGAGGGUGCGAGCGUUAAUCGGAAUUACUGGGCGUAAAGCGCGCGUAGGCGGUCUGAUAAGCCGGUUGUGAAAGCCCCGGGCUCAACCUGGGAACGGCAUCCGGAACUGUCAGGCUAGAGUGCAGGAGAGGAAGGUAGAAUUCCCGGUGUAGCGGUGAAAUGCGUAGAGAUCGGGAGGAAUACCAGUGGCGAAGGCGGCCUUCUGGACUGACACUGACGCUGAGGUGCGAAAGCGUGGGUAGCAAACAGGAUUAGAUACCCUGGUAGUC